CAUGAAUUUUGGAAACGCACCCAUUAGUUGCCAGUUCAUGGAGUUUUCCCUGAGAGGAGAAAAUGAUAACACCGACUUCAGCAUCGCAAAGCACUGAGAGUUCCCUGGCCUUCUUGAGCAGCCCUUCUCGACGCUUGCAGAAGAUGACCUUCAGCCUGGACUAGCCUUGAAGUUAUAGUGGUGCUACUAAAAGAUAUUAACUGCGUACUCCUCUCAGAUCAAACUACUGAUGCAAUGAAGCGAUCUGCUUUUAUAUAGCACUCCCAACUUCAGAGGAAUAUGAGGCUUGCUUGGCAUCCCUCCAGGGUACUUAAAAGUUAAAAGCACUUUGCAAGUCAUUGUACAUCUUUCAUUUUGCUCUUGUAGAUUCUCAUAAAUAUUGUAAUAUGGUACAGUAUUAUACUUAUUGCUUCUUUGCUUUGUCACUAAUGACUAAUUUAACUAAUCUUGUAAGAUUCUGAUAUCACAUCUAAGGACCUUUUCAUUGUUUAUCUCA
Lolium rigidum is the source of this 496-nucleotide long non-coding RNA. RefSeq lists it as uncharacterized. The transcript is spliced from 2 exons. Lineage: Eukaryota; Viridiplantae; Streptophyta; Magnoliopsida; Poales; Poaceae. The record is from RefSeq and is a predicted model, not a curated record.